Molecule: non-coding RNA, 28 nt
Filed under: Rattus norvegicus (Norway rat)
Lineage: Eukaryota; Metazoa; Chordata; Mammalia; Rodentia; Muridae
Source: RNAcentral
UAGAUGUGGGAGGAAGAAGGGAGGGAAA